Molecule: long non-coding RNA, 244 nt
Filed under: Bos taurus (domestic cattle)
Lineage: Eukaryota; Metazoa; Chordata; Mammalia; Artiodactyla; Bovidae
Description: long non-coding RNA NONBTAT015101
Source: RNAcentral
UUGAAUGUUUGAUCAACAUACAUCAUGUAUCCUUAAAAACAGAUAAAUAAAAGAAAAAGAAAAUUUCAGAUCAGAAAAUGCUCCACUCUUCUAAAGUCCAGCUUCCCAGGGUACUUUUCAUGCUUAUAAAAUUUCCUUAAUUUCCAAACAAGAAUUCUCUAAAUUAACACAUUUAUAAUGAAUUUAGCAUUUUGCCUUAAAGCAGGAAUAUUUCAGCUUCUUCACUUGCUAGCUUCUUUCAUCU